RNAcentral lists this transfer RNA (74 nucleotides) under Vulpes vulpes (red fox). It matches the Rfam family "tRNA". From Rfam's summary of the family: Transfer RNA (tRNA) molecules are approximately 80 nucleotides in length. Their secondary structure includes four short double-helical elements and three loops (D, anti-codon, and T loops). Lineage: Eukaryota; Metazoa; Chordata; Mammalia; Carnivora; Canidae. The record is from Rfam by way of RNAcentral.
GCCUGGCUGGCUCAGUUUGGUAGAGCAUAUGACUCUUGAUCUUGGGGUUGUAAGUUCGAGCCCCAUGUUGGGCG